This is a long non-coding RNA of Octopus bimaculoides (California two-spot octopus), 446 nucleotides long. The record is from RefSeq and is a predicted model, not a curated record. Lineage: Eukaryota; Metazoa; Mollusca; Cephalopoda; Octopoda; Octopodidae.
CAUAUUUUACUGAUUUCAUGGAUUUAAAGCAGCGGUCCCCAAACUUAUUAGACAAUUGACACCUUCAUGGAAUUCUUGAUCCCUCAUCGACCCCCAGGCAUCCCAAAGCUUACUAUCUUCAUUCAGUGAAAUAAGAGUUUUUAAACAGAUUAAUUACAGGAAGAAAGAUAAGUGCCAUGACUUUUUCCAGUGUUUCUAAGAUUAAGGAAAUUGAAGUAAGACCACAAACCAGAGACCUGGUCCAAAUGCUUGCAACAAAACUAACCCUUCCAGAGGCAAUCAAAUACUAAGUAGUGGUAUUAAACCAGAAAUCAAUGAAGUCUACUUCCAAUCUCACCCUUUAUAUCCAAGCUUAAAUCUGAAAGAAUUGUUCACAGUUAGAAGCAGUUAGAUUAAUGUAAAAUAUAUGUGAAGUGUUUUUGAAUAAAAAUGAUAAGAUUGACUUA